UUUGAGUAUAAAGAAACCUUUGUUUGAAACACAGUUGUAAACAAGUUUGAAGUAUGAUAAACCGAGUAAGAAGUACAGUGUAAUAAGUAGUUGAAAACAUAUAAAAUGUUUAUAAAAAUCAUUUGAAGGAAAACUAUUUGGUAAAACGGCUAAUGAGUAGCCAAAUCUUUUGAAUGCUGUAUAUUAAUCACAUGUGAUUGAUGUAUUAAAUAAUAUAAUCCGACUUACUAAUCACAUGUGAUUGACAAAAAAAGUAGCAUGAUUCUACUUGUAUCCCCCCCAUAAAACAUUUAAAACAGUUUAAAACAUUAGUUAAGGGGUAUGAACUCACCUGCAGUAUGUGACUGGAAAUGAACGGGCUGUUAUCGUACGGAAGGAUCGGACAAGUGCUUGGUGUCAAGUGAUGACUUAGACACACACAAUGAUCCUAAUUACAUAUGAAGACAUAUGUAUAUAAAUAAUUAGUGAUUAUAACACUAAUUAUACAAGUAAUAACAUUUAAGCGCGAGGACAACACUUUUGGUCAAGUGCUAGGAGGCAAAUGGGUUGCAAUAAAGGAGUGCAAUGCCCCUAAUGGAAGUUUAAGGUCAAAAGACCAUAAUCAUUAGAGUUUACGGCCCAGGGGAGUAGGCUCCUGGCCGUAAACUCUCAAACAAGGCUUGGAAUGGUACUUUGAAUUACUACAACUCUAGUGGGAAUUGUUUCAAGGCCUAUACAAGUGUUUGGGCACCACAUUGACUCCUUUGGGGAGUUUACGGCCCAAAGACCCUUUUCCCUUGGAGUUUACGGCCGUAAACUCCCUUGGGAGGGUUCUUAUUGUCCUUUCAAGUGUCUAACAAUUCUAGGAACAAGUCUAGGCUUCAAUACUUGGAUUAAGGGAGGUUUAAGGCACUAAAUGGGACCAUUUGAUGGAGUUUACGGCCAUAGAACUCUUUGGGCCGUAAACUCCCUCACACAUGAGGUCCUAAGAAUUUUAACUAGUCCAUAUCUCCUCUAAGUACUUGCCCUAAAAGUUUCUUGGCCUAUGGAAGUGUUUAGGGUGUCCUUUGACCCCAUUUAAGGAGUUUACGGCCCAAGAAAUACUCUUGGCCGUAAACUCUCAAACACUUAUGCUUUUUAUGUGUUUUCUAGGUCCUAAACACAUUAAGGUACAUGCCAAAAAUGAAUACUAAGCCUUAGGAAGAGUUUAAAGGCAUUUUGGAACCUAAAACUUGGAGUUUACGGCCCAAGGAGUUUCUUGGCCGUAAACUCCCUUAUAGAAAUGAUUUCUAAGGGUUUUGAUGGCAUAAAUCAUGAGUGUAAAGCUUCUAGGUGUUUGUUCUAAGGCUAGGGAUCACAAGGCACUCAUUUGUGCCCUUUACUUGGAGUUUACGGCCCAAGAGGUGGUUCCUUGGCCGUAAACUCCUCAAACUAAGUGAUUUUGAUUUGUUUCUAGCCUCCAAUGAUCAUACACUAGGUCCUUAGUUAGUUGCCUAACACGGAAAUGGGACUAUGUGGCCUUUAGGCUUGAUUUUGGAGUUUACUCCCCAAGAACGUUCUUGGGCGGUAAACUCCCGGAUCUUGUGUUUUGGACAUGUAAUCAAUGUUAUAAAGCAUAUAACAAGUAUUAAAACACAUUUAGGGAAGUAGACUCACAAUCUGGGAUGAAAACCCGAAGAUCCGUGAGAGAGUAUUUGGCUUUUCUCUAAAUGGAAAUCAAAUAAUGAACCAAUUUGGUUCAGAAUUCUAUUUAUAGUCCAGAGAUUUUUGGCAGAAAAUAUUUCUAUUCUCGGAAUGGAUUCUAAUGACCUAGAGUAAUGGAAUUACAGUGUUGCACAAAAUCCUAGUGCACCCACUCUCCUAAUAACUCCUUAGGUGUAAAACCCUAAAACUGCCAAACUUAUUCCAAAAGUUUGAAUUUUCACUGAAACUGCUCUACUUCCAUUGGAUUGAUGUGGUUUGAUUUGAAUGGAAAAUUUCGGGUUGUCACAGUUAAGGGGUAUGAACUCACCUGCAGUAUGUGACUGGAAUUGAACGGGCUGUUAUCGUACGGAAGGAUCAGACAAGUGCUUGGUGUCAAGUGAAGACUUAGACACACACAAUGAUCCUAAUUACAUAUGAAACAUAUGUAUAUAAAUAAUUAGUGAUUAUAACACUAAUUAUACAAGUAAUAACAUUUAAGCGCGAGGACAACACUUUUGGUCAAGUGCUAGGAGGCUAAUGGGUUGCAACAAAGAAGUGCAAUGCCCCUAAUGAAAGUUUAAGGUCAAAAGACCAUAUUCAUUAGAGUUUACGGCCCAGGGGAGUAAGCUCCUGGCCGUAAACUCUCAAACAAGUCAUGAAAUGGAGUUUAAAAGUACUACAACCUUAGAGGGGAAUUGUUUCAAGGCUAUACAAGUGUUUGGGCACCACACUGACUCCUUUGGGGAGUUUACGGCCCAAAGACCCUUCUCCCUUGGAGUUUACGGCCGUAAACUCCCUUGGGAGGGUUCUUAUUGGCCUUUCAAGUCUCUAACAUUUCUAGGAACAAGUCUAGGCUUCAAUACUUGGAUCAAGGGAGGUUUAUGGCAUUAAAUGGAACCAUUUGAUGGAGUUUACGGCCAUAGAACUCUUUGGGCCGUAAACUCCCUCACACAUGAGGUUCUAAGAAUUUUAACUAGCCCAAAACUCAUCUAGGUACUUGCCCUAAAAGUCUCUUGGCCUAAGGAAGUGUCUAGGGUGUCCUUUGACCCCUUUAAAGGAGUUUACGGCCCAAGAAAUACUCUUG
Molecule: long non-coding RNA, 2746 nt
Filed under: Lactuca sativa (garden lettuce)
Lineage: Eukaryota; Viridiplantae; Streptophyta; Magnoliopsida; Asterales; Asteraceae
Description: long non-coding RNA (LSAT_LNC005041)
Source: RNAcentral